RNAcentral lists this ribosomal RNA (253 nucleotides) under uncultured bacterium. RNAcentral's name for it is "partial 16S ribosomal RNA". It matches the Rfam family "Bacterial small subunit ribosomal RNA", at positions 524 to 776 of the family's 1533-position model. The record is from RNAcentral.
UACGUAGGGGGCAAGCGUUGUCCGGAAUUACUGGGCGUAAAGGGCGCGUAGGCGGUUUGUUAAGUUGGAUGUGAAAACUCUGGGCUUAACCCAGAGCCUGCAUCCAAAACUAGCAGGCUAGAGUUCUGGAGGGGAUAGCGGAAUUCCUGGUGUAGCGGUGAAAUGCGUAGAUAUCGGGAGGAACACCGGUGGCGAAGGCGGUUCUCUGGGCCUGUACUGACGCUGAGGAGCGAAAGCGUGGGGAGCGAACAGG